GGUAAAUGAAGCUGGCACACGGCCACACAGCUACAGCAUUGAUGGUGCAGGCGUCCGCGGAGCACGGCAUAAGGAGCGGUCUGCGACGCCCCAGCACCUCUCCCGUGCAGCCCCUGUGCUUGUCCUCCUGGCAUCUCAGGGCACUGGUUUCCUGCAUUCGCUUUGCUCCCCUUGUGCACGUUCUGUCUUCCCAGAAGAAGAGAGUUAGGGAAUUAAAAGGAGAGCGUUCUUCCGUGCGCAUAUCCUCUUCUCAGUUUAUUCAUUGAUGCAGAAAGCAGGCAGCUGGUCACCGGGUGUGCUGACGGCCAGCUUUGGAUCUUCAGUUUGAUGGAUGGACACCAUUAUCGUCGUGUGGCACGGGUUGACCUAAGGAAGAAGACAGAGACUUUCUCCACAAGAAGGGUUAAGUCUGGGCUGUGCAGCCAGCCAGAAGAAAGCCAGCUUCCCUCUACAAGUGCUCUGGGAAAAGGAGAGCAGGUUGAAGUAAC
Molecule: small RNA, 488 nt
Filed under: Pan troglodytes (chimpanzee)
Lineage: Eukaryota; Metazoa; Chordata; Mammalia; Primates; Hominidae
Description: processed transcript
Source: RNAcentral